CACUUUUCGGAGAGGUGGAGCCAAUAAAGUCUGCUGGAUAAGAGCUGCCGAGGCCUCAUCCUCACCUCGGUGCAGUCUUUGCUUUGUGCUCCGUGUUUGCAUUGCAUUACAUAUUUGGAGUUGCAUUCAAAUAAAUACUCUUUUUAAUCCAGAGCCAGCCCAAGGUGUUCUCAGCCGGCCUGGACAUCAUGGAGAUGUACGGGAAGAGUCCAGAGCGCUAUGGAGAGUUCUGAAGAGUUGUUCAGGAGAUGUGGCUGAAACUCUACGGCUCCAGCAUGGUCACCAUAGCUGCAAUCAAUGGCUCCAGUCCUGCAGGCGGCUGUCUCAUGUCUAUGACGUGUGACUACAGGAUUAUGGCGGACAACCCGCGUCACAGCGUCGGCCUCAAUGAGACGCAGCUGGGCAUCGUGGCGCCUUUUUGGGCCAGAUUUACUGGGAAAUUGCGUUUCUUUAUGCAAUCGGCUCCUGGACGGCACCUGCUGCUGAACCCCCAGACGAGCUCGCCGGAGCAGUUCAGGAGGAUUUCUACGAGAUCACUGAGCUCAGAGCAGAAAUAACAGAGGUCUUUUUCAAGAGCAACAAUUGAAAGUGGUUCGGGCAUUUAAUUCGGACGCCUCCUGGACACCUGCCUUUAGAGGUUAUCCAGGCACGAUUAUAUCUCCCGGCUGGCCUGUGAACGCCUCGGGAUCCCCCAGAAUGAGCUGGAAAAUGUUGCGGGUGAGCGGGAAGUCUGGGUCAGCCGGCUGGGUCCGCUGCCCCCGCGACCCGACCCCCCGGACUAAGCGGACGAUAAUGGAUGGAUGGAACUAUUGAAAGUGUGCAACACUUUCUUUCAAGCCCUCAUCACGACCCUCGGUGUGCAUCAAUAAAACUAAAAGUGACCAAUGAGGUCCAAUAUUGAGUGAGAACGCCGCUUAAAGCCGCGAAAUAGGCUGCAAUUAAAUUGCUCGUGACGAUUGGGCUCCGUUAAUGUCGAACCUGACAGAUCGUAAGGACCCGUUGAGUGAGAUUGAGAAUAUUUGAGAUCAGAAUCAGAAUCAGAAUCAGAAACAGUUUUAUUGCCAGGAAUGUUUACACAAACGAGGAAUUUUUUUUGGCGGAAGGUGCAACAUUUGGACAUGACAAACAAACAACAAUCAACACGACAGAAAGACAACAAAUAAUGUGAAAGUGUUUGGGUGUGUGCUUCAAGUGAUGUGUGUUUUAGUUAAAAGUGUAUGUUACAUGUGGCGUGUGUUUAAGUGUUUAAGUUAAAGUGCAUGUAAAUAAAGUGGCAUGUGUGUGGGGGAGGCCUCAAGUUAAAGUGCAUGUUAAAGUGACGUGUGUGGAGGAGGCCUCCAGGAGGGAAGAAGAAGGAGGAGGGAGGAGGAA
Molecule: RNA transcript, 1371 nt
Organism: Pseudoliparis swirei
Lineage: Eukaryota; Metazoa; Chordata; Actinopteri; Perciformes; Liparidae
Gene name: enoyl-CoA delta isomerase 1, mitochondrial-like
Exons: 4
Source: RefSeq, a predicted model, not a curated record